AUUAAAAAAUUAGUGUCUGCUUGCAGAACUUGCAUACAGGUGCUGCACGGCUGUCGUCAGCUCGUGUCGUGAGAUGUUGGGUUAAGUCCCGCAACGAGCGCAACCCUCGUCCUUAGUUGCUAACAGUUCGGCUGAGAACUCUAAGGAGACUGCCUACGCAAGUAGGAGGAAGGUGAGGAUGACGUCAAGUCAUCAUGGCCCUUACGUCCAGGGCUACACACGUGCUACAAUGGGGUAUACAAAGAGCAGCAAUACGGUGACGUGGAGCAAAUCUCAAAAAUGCCUCCCAGUUCGGAUUGUAGUCUGCAACUCGACUACAUGAAGUUGGAAUCGCUAGUAAUCGUAGAUCAGCUAUGCUACGGUGAAUACGA
This 371-nucleotide ribosomal RNA is filed under the name Aliarcobacter butzleri. RNAcentral describes it as "bacterial SSU rRNA". It matches the Rfam family "Bacterial small subunit ribosomal RNA", at positions 1000 to 1370 of the family's 1533-position model. Lineage: Bacteria; Pseudomonadati; Campylobacterota; Epsilonproteobacteria; Campylobacterales; Arcobacteraceae. The record is from RNAcentral.